Long non-coding RNA from Mugil cephalus (flathead mullet), 505 nucleotides. RefSeq lists it as uncharacterized. NCBI's taxonomy places the organism in Eukaryota, Metazoa, Chordata, Actinopteri, Mugiliformes, Mugilidae. The transcript is spliced from 3 exons. The record is from RefSeq and is a predicted model, not a curated record.
GCUGCGUGAGACGAGCAGAGACUUCGGGGAAAGACGGCGGAACGGAACGAGGCUAACUCUGCGAGGUCGAAACAGGGGAGCGGGAAAGGGGGGAGUACAUGAAAGCCUAAGUGCAGAGAAGUGAAGGGGUGGCGGAGUGAAAGAGUGAGGCUGCGAAAGGGGAGACGAGCAGCCAGGAGGAGUGUUGCGGUGCCAUAAAAUGCCAGCUGUAUGCCACUGCAGUCUCUCCCCUCUCAUCACCGCACUGUGUCUUUACGAGCCGCGGGGUCGAUCACGACAGCAACAUUUACUGCCCACUUGUGGACAGUCAGUUUAGUGAACUCGUGAGGCAGCAGCCGACGGCCCUUUCGCAGCCGCGCGGAGGCUUAAACGUCGCUCGACGUACACAAUCCAUCACGAGAGAAGAGUUGGCCGUCUUCAUUUUUGCUGUCAUAGCAGUUGGUGGUAAACAGAUUGGACAGGGAUGGCGUGACAUUUUAGAAGUAAGAAUCAGAAACCUUGAAAG